RNAcentral lists this ribosomal RNA (489 nucleotides) under uncultured bacterium. RNAcentral's name for it is "partial 16S ribosomal RNA". It matches the Rfam family "Bacterial small subunit ribosomal RNA", at positions 28 to 507 of the family's 1533-position model. The record is from RNAcentral.
GACGAACGCUGGCGGCGUGCUUAACACAUGCAAGUCGAACGGUGAAGGGACCAGCUUGCUGGUUCUGGAUGAGUGGCGAACGGGUGAGUAACACGUGAGUAACCUGCCCCCUUCUUCUGGAUAACCGCAUGAAAGUGUGGCUAAUACGGGAUAUUCUGGGUCUGUCGCAUGGCGGGCCCGGGAAAGAUAUUGCUUCGGUGGGGGAUGGGCUCGCGGCCUAUCAGCUUGUUGGUGGGGUGAUGGCCUACCAAGGCGGUGACGGGUAGCCGGCCUGAGAGGGUGGACGGUCACACUGGGACUGAGACACGGCCCAGACUCCUACGGGAGGCAGCAGUGGGGAAUAUUGCACAAUGGGCGCAAGCCUGAUGCAGCGACGCCGCGUGAGGGAUGGAGGCCUUCGGGGUGUAAACCUCUUUCGCCAGUGAAGCAGGCCUGCUCCUUGUGGGUGGGUUGACGGUAGCUGGAUAAGAAGCGCCGGCUAACUACGUG